This 1112-nucleotide long non-coding RNA is filed under the name Triticum aestivum (bread wheat). RNAcentral's name for it is "long non-coding RNA (TAES_LNC011978)". The record is from RNAcentral. Lineage: Eukaryota; Viridiplantae; Streptophyta; Magnoliopsida; Poales; Poaceae.
CUGUUGUGAUUCACCACUCGCUCGCAUCAGGCAUCAGUUAACAUGCUCAUUUCCCCUCUCUGAUUGCGCUUCCCUGAACCACUCCUAAAUGGCAUGGAUAUGCAUAUCCCUUUCCAGGUGUCGCCCUCCUCUCCUUUUGCAUCCUUUAUUAUCCAAGUUUCUCUCAAAUACAUGUGUAUAUCAUGUAUGCAUGAACGACUGAUAAUCAAACUUCUUGCUGGAGUGUGUUGCUAUGCAUCAAUGGAUAAUGUACAGACAACUUCUUCCCCUCACGCACAUCACAACUCUAUUCUUUUUUUUGUUGCGAGGUACAUCACAACUCUAUUCAGGUGAGAGUACUUUCCAGCUGCAAAUUUUAUAUUAUUCUUCCCGGCUGCAGUUAUAUCACCUGAUAGCUUAGUACUAAUAAUCUGUCUAAUCGACCUGACAUUUACCCAUGCAUGUUAGAUACUCAAGACAUUUUCUGCAAAUAAUCAAGCCAUAUUUCUUAAGAUCUAUACAAUGUUGUGUGCUCAGAUUACACAAGCCAGUUAUGGAGUUCCUUCUGGAGUUCUGCCACAUCAAUAUUUCCAUUACAUCAAGAUUUUAAGUUGAUCUAAUCUUAUUCCUGAAUGCUUUGUUCCAUACCUUACAGGACGGCUAACUCAAUUCUAUUUUUGUAUGCAACUAUAGUGCAAUGGCCGAAACCAUGUCUUAUGCUUCAUCUACAGGAUCGGGUUUCUUACAAUUUUGCUUUUUAUUUUAUACAAUGGAAGUCAUAGCAAUUUUCUUAUUCCAGCGAAUGGAUGCAUUCCAUAAUACAGUUUCAGUCCUUUAGACACUUCCACGGAUUAUUGACGGGGUAUUUUUUUAUAUCUGUUAUUGACUUGCAGCUUGCAAAUUGAUAACUGUACAUUGACCAUUAAUGUAUGCUUGAUUAUCAUACUGAUUGAUUUCUCUUCUACCAUGCAACGUGUUUGCGGGCAUUUCUAAUUAAAGCCUCUUUAGUCAUUUCUGCACUUCAAGGUGUGCAAUCCCUGAUUAAAAAUGUUUGAUAUUGUCCUUAAUAACUAUAGUUUUCCAUUUAUGAAUUAAUUACCAAAUAAACCAAUAGCCACAUUAGUUCCACUGAU